This 485-nucleotide ribosomal RNA is filed under the name uncultured bacterium. RNAcentral describes it as "partial 16S ribosomal RNA". It matches the Rfam family "Bacterial small subunit ribosomal RNA", at positions 28 to 507 of the family's 1533-position model. The record is from RNAcentral.
GAUGAACGCUGGCGGCAGGCCUAAUACAUGCAAGCCAAGGGCUGAUUGGUGUCGCAAUACGUCUAACAAACGGCGUACGGGUUCGUAACGCGUAUGCAACCCACCCCAUACAGGAGGGUAGCCUUCGGAAACGUGGAUUAAUACUCCAUAAGAAUGUUUAGCGGCAUCUUUAGGCAAUUAAAGCCUCAACGCGGUAUAGGAUGGGCGUGCGUCGGAUUAGCUAGGUGGUGAGGUGACGGCUCAACGAGGCGAGGAUCGGUAGGGGUUCUGAGAGUAAGAGGCCCGACAGGGGCACUGAGACACGUGCCCCAGUCAUACGGGACGCAGCAGUACGGGAGAUAGGACAAGGGGUGAAUGCCUGAUGCAGCCAUGCCGCGUGCAGGAAGAAGGCGCUCUGGAUUGUAAACUGCGUUUGAGAGGGAGAAAUAGGGGCGAUGCGUCGCUCGAUGAUAGUACUUCGCAAAUAAGCAUCGGCUAACUUCGUG